This 8142-nucleotide long non-coding RNA is filed under the name Cucumis sativus (cucumber). RNAcentral describes it as "long non-coding RNA (CSAT_LNC000119)". Lineage: Eukaryota; Viridiplantae; Streptophyta; Magnoliopsida; Cucurbitales; Cucurbitaceae. The record is from RNAcentral.
ACGACUUAGUCUUAAUUCUAAAUGUUGGAUUUCUUUGUCAACUUAAGAAAAAAUGUUGAAUUUUAAUUUUAAUUUUAAUUUUAAACUGCCAUACUCAGUCUUGCACUCUUAAUCAUAUAUACCCAAAUUAAUGUUUCUUUGUCAACUUAAGAAAAAAUGUUGAAUUUUAAUUUUGGAGAGAUUAUGGUAACAAGUUGACAAAUUUCAAGUUCCCUGCAAAUUCUAGACAUUAAUUACGUCUAUAGACAACUCUUCAAAUUUUUGAUUCUCAAUGAUAAUACAUUUCAAAUUUUACCAAAGGAGAUGUUUAGAACUCAAUGACUUGGAUGAAGUGUCACAUUUUAACGACUCUAAUAAGAUGUCACUAUUUAAUGACUAUUUUUAAUAUCACUAAAAUUAUGACAUAAUGAAACGGUUGGAGCGUUGGAAAAGCUUGAAAUUUUCCAUCAAAGUCGUCCCUUUUUUAUUUCAACAUAUUUCAUGACUAUUUUCUUUACCGACAUGAACAAAUUAAUAUCCUUUCAAUGAAAUAAUAAACAAUGGAUUUCUUCCUAUUGAUCUUAAGCCUAGGAAACUUUGUAGCUUAGCAGCAAGUGAGGUUGAAAGUUGAUGAUACAAUAUUCCAAAGCAUUGAAGAUAAGAAGCUAAAAUAGAGGAAAGAAGAGAGAGAAGGAGAAAAAUAACGUUAGGGGCUAUAGAUAUGACAUUUGAUCCGCAUGGUUUGCUUGAAAUAACCAUGCAACGUUGUGUGGCCCUUUCACAUGAUGGCGUCACAAUGAUAGGACAGUGUGUAGCAGCAACGUCUCUUCUUUUGUUGCCUUCUUCCUUCGGUGGCGCGACGUCUACCCUUGAAGCCAUUUUCGUCCUUUUCUCUUCCAUUUGAUAGGGUUGGUUUCAUUUUGACUCUUUGCAUGCAUUCAUCUAUUUUAGCUCCAUGUUCUAGCUAAUGCUCCAUUUUAUCUUCUUGGUGCCAAUACCUAUAAGAUAACCAAUUUAUAACAAUUAAAGAACAUAAUAAUCCUAAGUUAAGUUAAGUGGAAUAACACAAUUCUCAAGUAUAUGUUGAAUUUACUUGUAAUAUAUUAGAAAAUAUAUCUACACAAUGUAAACCAUAUAUCAUUUACUAAAACUAGAAGACAAACUAUUGCUCCGAUAAGAAAGAUAUACACUAAGCACCGAGAAAUAAGAAAAAAUUGGAGAAUAUAUGUUGUAUAUAUGAAAUAUACCUUAUAUUUUUAUUCGAAAUAUAUAUAUGUUGAUUCUUAAUGAUACAUGAGUGCAACGAUUUUUAGAUUUUAAAAAAACCUUUUCUUGCUUAUUAUUAGUUUUAAAAAGAAAACUACAUGUAGGGAAAGUAUUAUGAUAGACGUACACAUAUAGUAAUCUAUCUUGAGCAGAUCCUGCUAUAUUUAUAAAUAAUUUCUGGAGUUAAGCUUUUUGGUGGAAGAUGGAUGGAAGUAAUUAGAGAUGAACGACCGUUGUCGAAAAAAUCUAGCAUUUCCCUUACUCUUCCAGUAAGGAUCCUACAAGCGAUUGGUCCCAUGAGAGACACUAAAAAAAGAUCGAUUGAACCUAACCUCCUAAAGAUGAAGCAAAGGAAGAUAAGGAUCCGCCAAAGCUAAAUCAAUUGCUUAAUCUUCUUAUAAUUUGUGUUUAAUUAUAAAUAAAAUCAAACAAUCAAUGAGAGGCCUCAAUACAUCUCCUAUUAGUACUCUCGCAUCAUGCAACGUCAAUUCACAAUAAUAUACGAGCCAGCUGACCAAUCCAAGAGUUUCAAUCAUUGAGUGUAUGAAAUUUCUUUAAUUUGGAAUGCAAGGAAAAAUGUUUAAACUCUUUGGAGAGAGCCCAAACUCAUGUUAACCUGAAUAGAGUUGGAUUGGUUUCAACAUAUCCCUUCAAUCAAGAGGUUACAAGGUUUGAAGUUCCUCAAUCUGUAUGUUUAUUUAUCAAAUAACCAGGAUUGAUUUGUAGAACGUAAAGUAGAGAACAGAAACACGUGGUUUUAUUCAAAUUUCAUUCCCAAACGCUACAUAGUGUGAUUUGUACAAUUUGAUCAUUGCAGAUCUCAUCCCAUAAACUAAAAAACAGAGCAUCAAAGAUAGAAAUCAGCUUACAUGCCAAUACUUGGAAACACAGUGGUCAAUACAACUAUUUUUACACAUAUUCAGCUCAGAUUCCUUGUACCUGAAAUAAAAUAGAUGGUAGUUGUUGAAUGACAAAAGACCAUGCAUAAAUCUCAAAAUGAAUAAUAAGAUAGAAUCAAUCUUAUAAUGCUAAAAGCAACAGCCAUGAGAAAUUGAAUUCUAUGGUUGGAAAGCAUGCAAUAUUCAAGAUUAGACAACUGUCCAACCUCUUGUCAACACAGUUAUCAAAACAUGAUUGCGUUAGCCUGAAAGACAAAAAAACUAAUUAGGUAUGAGGUUCAAAGUCGCAGCUUCCAUUCAAUCAAUGAAAAAAAUUAUCCUUCCACCAUCUCUCUCCUUCAUACCCUAACAAUUACAUUUUUCCAAUUUGGAGAAACCCACAACAAUAAUCUGCAAUUGAUCUGGGAUAUUCUCAAUGUACUCAAUCACAGUCCAACUACUAGAAUCCCAAAUCACAACUAUGAAUUUGCAAAACAAGAAAAAAAACCGAAUAAACAAUUAGAAACCAACCUGUUCCUUGUCUACAACUGAUGACAUAUUGUUCGCAGAAGCCACCGAGACUCUGAAUAAAAAAAAGAAAGAAAAUCACAACUCCAAAACUAGAUUACAACUACUUAAACUGGAUACUAUCUAUUUAAACAUAAACUAUAGAACAAGACAUUAAUGAGACAUAAAGAAGUUUGGUAAUUUUCUUUUGCUCCUCUCCUAGCUGCCUGCCAUGACAAGAAAUUUUAAUGUCUUGAGUUAAACAAACUAAAAGCAUAAUUACAGAAUCAGAGACGAACAUAAAAUUACACAAAUAAGGGUUCAGAUUUGAUCAUGAAACAGUGAGUAUAUAGAUUGAGUAACAAGCAAAAAAUGUUAUUUUCUGCAUUCCACUGUAUCUUAAGUGGCAAGGCUUGGCUUAAUUUACUAUAAGAAAAAGGUAGAUAUGAUCAAAAUUAUCCCUUACCCACAUCUAUGUGUUUUUGCUCUUUGCUACGUACUUUCUCAAUCAAAUGUUUGGUAACUUUGGUUAAUUUAAUGAAUUGACAUUUCCAAUCAAGAACUCAAUCUUUCAAUCAUUAUUUCAGACAUAGAAGAAAAAAAACUAUAAAAAAUAAGCAGUGAUCAAAUGGAAUAAAAUUAAAGCAAUUACAUAUACCAGAUAGCCAAAGAAUAUAGGAAAACUCAAAUGGUCAGAAAUCACAAAGUUUUGAGCAAGCAUCGUUUAAGAACUUGAAUGUUUUUAGAAGUGAAAGGGUCAAGAGGACAAGUUCUCUUAACUAGCAUGGUUUGGGUCUAGUGGUAAAAAAUGAAACAUAAUCUCAAUAAUUAGUCAAUAAUUAGCUAAGAGAUCAUGAAUUUGACCCAUGGUAAUCACCUACUUAUGAAUUAAUUUGUAGUUUUCUUUACACUUAAAUGUUGGGUGGUUUGACGGGUUGUCCAGAUUAGUUGGAUUAGACACUCGAAUAUAAAAAAAAGGAGAUAAGUUCUCUUUCAAAACCCGAUAACUUUUUAUAGGAAUUUUUAAAAGCUGUCAUUUCUACUUCUAGCUAUUUCCCUCCAUUCACACCUAUUCAUUUUUUAGUUCCAUCCAAUUCAAACUCUAGAACAGCUUGAUAAGUGUCUAAAUCAAAUACCUCCACAUUAAACAGUAAACAUUACUCAUAAACCAAUCCAUAAAUCACCAAAUAGAACCAAAAAAUUGUGUAAACCAAUCUAUUAAAAGAAAAGAAAAUAACUCCUCGAACUCAACAACAGUAUUAGAAACAAAUAUCGAUCAUUGAUGAUUUUAAUUAGUUGUGCCCUUUCGAACCACUUCCUUAAAAGCAAAAUUCGACGUGACAUCGUGCUAAAUCGCUUAUGCUGAUUGCUCCCAAGGUUAACACAACUUUCUCAACCUGCACUAACCGGAGUUGAGAGUUGAAAUCAAAAGAAAAAUUGAUCAGAGAAUAAGGAAUAACUAGGGUUUUUUCUUUUUGGCAAGAAGAAGAACUCCACUCUCAAUCUUUUCUUUACAAUAAUAUAUAUAUAUAUAUAUAUAUAUAUAUAUAUAUAUAUAUAUAUAUAUAUAAAUAUAUUUGAAUAAAAUAAAAUAAAAUAAAAAAUUAUUAUUAUAUAAUAAAAACUAAUUAUAAAACAAUACAACGUUGAUCAUUCUCAACAAUCUCCCACGAAUGACUACCAUAGCAUUCUAGUUAAAAUAGUAAGUAGUAUAAACUUAAACAUCAAUAUCUUUCGAUAUAAAGUGAUGUGUUGUGAGUGAGACAAUAAUCCAAUUAUCGAAAGUAAGUUACCUUCUGAACUUUCGAUAGCAACUGUUGAGACCCCAACAACAUGUUUUAUUUCUUAAAUUUUCAUUGAUUCCGUAAUAAAGUCUAUCACAGUAGACCACUCAAAAUUGUGCUAUUCAAGACCAUGCACAUUGUGAAAGCUCUAGAAAAAUAUCCUUAAACUUUUUCAUAGAAGGUGGUCACACCUUCACAAUCACAUUUAUUGCUUCAUCAAGUCUAUCACAAUAUUCCACUCAAACUGAGCUAUGAAAACUUCACAUAGUCCAUAUCAAGACCAACUUCAUCAAAUCUGUAAAAACAAACCACUCAAAACUGAGCUUUGAAGAUUUUACAGUUAUUCAUCAAGUCCAUACCCAGGACCACCCAAAGAAGAGCUAUGGAAUUUCAAAGGUUUUAAUUUCAUCAAUCAAAUCCAUUUAAGGAUUACCCACUCGUGGCUAUAGACCAUCAAGUCUACCACAAUAGACCACUUAGAAAAUGGCUAUGAACCAUCAAGUCUAUCGCAAUAAACCCUUCAAAUAAAGAACUAUGGACCAUCAAAUCUAUCACAAUAGACCAUCCAAAUAAAGGACCAUGAACCAUCAAGUCUAUCGCAAUAGACCCUUCAAAUAAAGAACUAUGGACCAUCAAAUCUAUCACAAUAGACCAUCCAAAUAAAGGACCAUGAACCAUCAAGUCUAUCGCAAUAGACCCUUCAAAUAAAGAACUAUGGACCAUCAAAUCUAUCACAAUAGACCACCCAAAUAAAAGACCAUGAACCAUCAAGUCUAUCGCAAUAGACCACCCAAAUAAAGUGCUAUGAAAACCACUAAAUGUUUGAGUCUUAUACUUGUUGAAAAUCCUAGAAUUGCUCUCUUUGUCAAGCCUUUGGUGAGUUGAUAUGCUAAAUUCGUUUAAGAUCUCACAUACUUGAAGAUAAUUCUUUCAUUCAACAACUAUUUCACAAUUCCAUGUUUCCUUGGAAUAUGCUUUCUUUUGUCAUAACACACUAUUUUUGACAAUACAAAUGAAUCUCAAGGAAGAUAUACGGGCCCUCCACAAUGGUAUUAAUGUCUAUCGAUAAAUCUUUGAUAAAUAAUAAGAAUACUCACCUAUUUUUAUUCUCUAUGGUUUAAUCACAAAUAUUUUGUGAAAGCAAAGUUAGAGGUAGAAGUAGACCAUUAGAGAAGCUAAUCCAAUCAAGCAGAGAAUUGAAGAGAACAGAAAUAGAAUUAAAAAAAGCAACAAAAUGAGUUCAAGGGCAGAGAUUACAUGGGUAGGUUUCAAAUGCAAGAAGAAAAAGCAAAAGGGUAUGGAGGUACACCGUUAAUUAAGCUGAAACAGAGUGAGAAUGGGUAGAAGUUUGAAGGUUGAGAAGGAAAGUUAUAGAAAGAAGGAGAUAGAGUGGCUGAAGUGAAAAGGGUGUGGGUGUGAAGGUUGAAGAAGUUGAGACGGUUGUUAAUGGAAGCAAGAUAGAGAGGAGGAGUGAUGGCAGAUGAGAGAAAAGAGGAACCACACCCGAGAGAGAAGAACAAAUGAAUUUGCCUUAGUAUAUUAUUUCUUUAAUUAUCAUAGUUCUAAAUUAGAAAACUUUCUAAAUUCUAAUUUGUAAAUAAUAACAAUAACAAUAAAUCUAUUUACACUUAAUAACAAAAAAAGAAAAAAAACAUUACACAUUUAUAAUUAAAAUAAUGGUUAAGAUUAGAAGAUUGGAGAAAAUAUUUAUAAUAAAUUUUGUUUAUAAAUAGUUUGCUAAUUUUUGUGAAAAAACUCCUAAAAUAAUUGUUCUUAAAUUUGAUUUAUUUUUAAUUACAACCUUGCUAUAAUCUCUCUUCCUGCUCCACUACAGCCCAGCCGCAGCCCCUCUCUUCGGUGAGCUUCUUUGAACCGCAUACGAACGGUGCCCACGACACCGUAUCGCCCAAGAGCACAGUGGCGGACUACACCCGACACGUUUGCUUGGCCAAUAGCUUGGAGCAACUGUGAGUGACGCCACCAACGUCUUCUGGCUUUUUUAGCACCGUUUUCUCUAGUUCAAGGAGUUUCGGUACUUACCCAUUCUAUUUCAACAUUAGAUUUGAGUUACCCACUUCUUAACGGCUCCAAACAUGUAGGAUUGAACGUAUUCGGACGCCAACCAGCAAAGUUUCAAGUCGUUUGGAUAAGUUUCUGCGGGGGUAAGAAUGGUCUAAAUUUCCUUUUGAACUUGUUUAAGAUCCUUUAUUUGGACACUUUUCACCCUUUUGGAUUAGAUUUAGAUGGUGUAAAUUAGUCUAUAACUCUUGGUAUGCUUAAUUUGUGGUUUAAGGUGAGAGAUUUUUGAGGUGGAUAAUUGAAGAAUCAUGAAACUAGUCUGUCUAAUUUUAUCUGUUAACUUCUCAUGAUUGAUAUUUCAAUUCUAUAAAGUUGGUGGAGAAAAGAUUUUAACUUCUUGGAUCCGUUGAUUAUGUAGAAUUUCGGCUUUUUUUUUUUUAUGUUAUCAAAUUUUUGGUUUAUUUUCUUUGAUAUUCUCAAUUUAUUUACCUUCAUUGCUAAUCAAGAUGGUAUUUUGUUUGGUUUUCUAUUUUUUAAAUAGCAAUGGAACAUGGAUCCUUCACAGAUGAGACCAAAUCAACAUUUUCUGUGGCUGAUGAAGAUCAUACACUUGCAAAUACUCUCAGAUACACUUUGAACCAAGAGUAUGACCUCUUAUUCAGUUAUUCUUGAGUGAAUAUUUUGAAAUGUUAACAUGACAUGGACAAGCCAAAGAAUUUGCAGUUCUUGGACUACUUAUCUUUUCUAACCAUUUCAUCACUGAUUUCUAUUAAUUCGUGACAUAACUAAUUAAACAGAUUCUUGGUUCUUGUGAACAUAUCAUCAAAAAGGUCCUUGAAAAGUUAAUUAGGAUCUAGCUGGUUUCGAUUAUUGUUAUUUAUUCUUUAGUAAAUCAUAUUCAGACAUACUUUUAAAUGGCUUGCAAUGAUCUUGCAGUCCAAGAGUGACAUUCUGUGGAUACAGCAUCCCUCAUCCUUCAGAUAAUCGAGUUAAUAUUCGAGUUCAGACAACAGGUAAUUUGUCUCUUUAAAAGUGGAGCCGAUUGGUUCCCAUUUAGGACAUGUUUUCUAAUGGUUAGAUUUGGUCUUUCUGUUUUUAUGCUUUAUACACAUCCAAUCUAUGCAUCCAUGAGAUAUAUAGCUUAUGGAUCUAUGGGAAGUGUGAUCCUCUUUAAAGAAAAAUCUUUCAGUAAAAUCACCUUGUUGCUUAGCUAGAACCAACCCCGUUAUUUUUAUAAGCAUAUAAAUAUAUGUUUUAGUAUUCAUAUGAAAGGUUGUAUCUAUUUAGUUUCAUAACUUUAACAAGAUUCAAUUGUCUAUUUAAAAUUUGAAUAGUUAACCAUCAUGGAUUGGUGUACUGGUUAAAAAGGAGAUAUAGUCUCAAUAGCUAAUUAAGACGUCAUGGGUUCAAUCCAUGGUGGCUACCUACCUAAGAGUUAAUUUUCUACGACUUGGCAAUUAGGACAUACCCACUAUUGUCUAAUCAACAAUAAUGUUAAUAACUAUGACUACACAUGACUAUACAUGAUUAAUUAUACUUGCAAAGUGUGCAAACCAUAUUUAAAACUUGAAAUACUUAGGCGCAACCAUAGUUGGAGUUCCAUUAUUGAUUACUAGGGAAAACAAAGCACAUGGAAAUAUGGUAGGAGCAAUAUAGCAAACAGAAGACUAUCAGCAAUUUAGCAUUACUGAAAGAAAGGUUAAUUAUGG